UACAAAGGGUGCAAGCGUUACUCGGAAUUACUGGGCGUAAAGCGUGCGUAGGUGGUCUGUUAAGUCUGAUGUGAAAGCCCUGGGCUCAACCUGGGAAUUGCAUUGGAUACUGGCAGGCUAGAGUGCGGUAGAGGGUAGUGGAAUUCCCGGUGUAGCAGUGAAAUGCGUAGAGAUCGGGAGGAACACCAGUGGCGAAGGCGACUACCUGGACCAGCACUGACACUGAGGCACGAAAGCGUGGGGAGCAAACAGG
This 253-nucleotide ribosomal RNA is filed under the name uncultured bacterium. Its description in RNAcentral is "partial 16S ribosomal RNA". It matches the Rfam family "Bacterial small subunit ribosomal RNA", at positions 524 to 776 of the family's 1533-position model. The record is from RNAcentral.